UACGAAGGGGGCUAGCGUUGCUCGGAAUCACUGGGCGUAAAGGGUGCGUAGGCGGGUCUUUAAGUCAGGGGUGAAAUCCUGGAGCUCAACUCCAGAACUGCCUUUGAUACUGAAGAUCUUGAGUUCGGGAGAGGUGAGUGGAACUGCGAGUGUAGAGGUGAAAUUCGUAGAUAUUCGCAAGAACACCAGUGGCGAAGGCGGCUCACUGGCCCGAUACUGACGCUGAGGCACGAAAAGCGUGGGGAGCAAACAGGG
This 255-nucleotide ribosomal RNA is filed under the name uncultured bacterium. RNAcentral's name for it is "partial 16S ribosomal RNA". It matches the Rfam family "Bacterial small subunit ribosomal RNA", at positions 524 to 777 of the family's 1533-position model. The record is from RNAcentral.